AGCUUUAUAUUCAAUUAUGAUAUAAAAUUGCAAAUUUUAAGGUGUAUAUAAUAGAAAAAUUACUAAGGCUU
This 71-nucleotide transfer RNA is filed under the name Euripus nyctelius (courtesan). RNAcentral's name for it is "tRNA-Cys". Lineage: Eukaryota; Metazoa; Arthropoda; Insecta; Lepidoptera; Nymphalidae. The record is from RNAcentral.